This 999-nucleotide ribosomal RNA is filed under the name Thelotrema sp. Mangold 19zo. Its description in RNAcentral is "eukaryotic LSU rRNA". It matches the Rfam family "Eukaryotic large subunit ribosomal RNA", at positions 144 to 1061 of the family's 3401-position model. Lineage: Eukaryota; Fungi; Ascomycota; Lecanoromycetes; Ostropales; Graphidaceae. The record is from RNAcentral.
UUGUAUUUGCAGAAGGUGCUUCGGGUGCGGCCGCGGUGCAGGUCAUUGGAACUGGGCGUCAUAGAGGGUGAGAAUCCCGUACGCGACCGACCGCCAAUCCCGUGUGAAGCCCUUUCGACGAGUCGAGUUGUUUGGGAAUGCAGCUCUAAUUGGGUGGUAAAUUUCAUCUAAAGCUAAAUACAUCGCCAGAGACCGAUAGUAAACAAGUAGAGUGAUCGAAAGAUGAAAAGCACUUUGAAAAGAGAGUCAAAAGUACGUGAAAUUGUUGAAAGGGAAGCGCUCGCAACCAGACUCGCUCGCGGGUGCUCAGUCGUCCCUCGGGGCGGUGCACUCUCCCGCGAUCGGGCCAGCAUCGGUUCUGGCGGCCGGACAAAGGCCCUGGGAACGUAGCUUCCUUCGGGGAGUGUUAUAGCCCGGGGUGCAAUGCGGCCAGCUGGGACCGAGGACCGCGCUUCUGCUAGGAUGCUGGCGUNAAUGGUUGCAAGCGACCCGUCUUGAAACACGGACCGAGGAGUCGACCAACCGUGCGAGUGUUUGGGUGUCAAACCCAUGCGCGCAAUGAAAGUAAACGGAGGUGGGAGCCCCCGGGCGCACCAUCGACCGAUCCUGAUGUCUUCGGAUGGAUUUGAGUAUGAGCCCGGCUGGUCGGACCCGAAAGGUAAGUUUUUUGAGCCCACUAGCGGUGAUCAUGGAUCAACUAACGAUUUAGAUAGUGAUCUAUACGUGAAUAGGGUGAAGCCAGAGGAAACUCUGGUGGAGGCUCGCAGCGGUUCUGACGUGCAAAUCGAUCGUCAAAUUUGCGUAUAGGGGCGAAAGACUAAUCGAACUAUCUAGGUAAGCUGACUCGGCUCUCUUAUAUCCACAUCAUAGCUAACUUUUUCUACAGUAGCUGGUUCCUGUCGAAGUUUCCCUCAGGAUAGCAGUAACGAAUAAACAGUCUCAUGAGGUAGAGCGAACGAUUAGAGGCCUUGGGGUUGAAACAACCUUAACCUUUCUCCA